Long non-coding RNA from Hyla sarda, 660 nucleotides. RefSeq lists it as uncharacterized. The transcript has 3 exons. The record is from RefSeq and is a predicted model, not a curated record. Lineage: Eukaryota; Metazoa; Chordata; Amphibia; Anura; Hylidae.
ACCGGAGCAGCGGGACAGCAUCGGGAGCCCCUGGGACAGCAUCGGGAGCGAUGAGGACGCGGUCCGGAGCGGCGGGGACAGGUGAGUAUAACUUCCUAUACUUUACAUUGCACGGAUCCCUCAACAUACAAUGGAUUCGACAAACGAUGGGUCGUUUGGAACGAAUUACCAUCGUAUGUUGAGGGACCACUGUAUAUACAUAUAUAUAAUGGGAACUUCAUUUCUUUUCUAUUGACAAUCCGCCCCGGGAGGAAGUAAGUAAAAGUAAAUAACCCACUCUUUCUUUCCUUGUUCCCGUGUGGCCACUGGGAUCACAGAACUCCUGAUGACUGGCGCAACUCAUCCAAUCAGCAGCUGAGGUGGGACAUCGUUGUUGCCACUGAUUGUAUUAGCAGAUAUGUGACAUCACAUCACCGAACCCGCAAUCGCUUGUCAGUGGGUACCAGAGUCUGGCUGCUGCGCAGGAGCGAGCAGGGCCCAUGGACAUAGACAACAAUGGACAGGACCUUUCAGAUGACUUGGAAGUUGCCUUCAAGCUAUCUCUAAAGAACCACCAACAUGCAUUUCUUUGUAACAUAAGAAAUGAAAGAACAGAAAUGUGCAACAAUUAGUUCAUGAAUAUGUAAAGAAUAUGACCUGUGAACAUUAUUGUUAACUGAG